This 467-nucleotide ribosomal RNA is filed under the name Rhodococcus sp. (in: high G+C Gram-positive bacteria). RNAcentral's name for it is "bacterial SSU rRNA". It matches the Rfam family "Bacterial small subunit ribosomal RNA", at positions 31 to 515 of the family's 1533-position model. Lineage: Bacteria; Bacillati; Actinomycetota; Actinomycetes; Mycobacteriales; Nocardiaceae. The record is from RNAcentral.
GAACGCUGGCGGCGUGCUUAACACAUGCAAGUCGAGCGGUAAGGCCUUUCGGGGUACACGAGCGGCGAACGGGUGAGUAACACGUGGGUGAUCUGCCCUGCACUCUGGGAUAAGCUUGGGAAACUGGGUCUAAUACCGGAUAUGACCGCAUGCCGCAUGGUGUGUGGUGGAAAGAUUUAUCGGUGCAGGAUGGGCCCGCGGCCUAUCAGCUUGUUGGUGGGGUAAUGGCCUACCAAGGCGACGACGGGUAGCCGACCUGAGAGGGUGACCGGCCACACUGGGACUGAGACACGGCCCAGACUCCUACGGGAGGCAGCAGUGGGGAAUAUUGCACAAUGGGCGGAAGCCUGAUGCAGCGACGCCGCGUGAGGGAUGAAGGCCUUCGGGUUGUAAACCUCUUUCAGCAGGGACGAAGCGUGAGUGACGGUACCUGCAGAAGAAGCACCGGCUAACUACGUGCCAGCACC